AGUGAACGCUGGCGGUAGGCCUAACACAUGCCAGUCUAACGGCAGCACAGUAAGAGCUUGCUCUUACGGGUGGCGAGUGGCGGACGGGUGAGGAAUACAUCGGAAUCUACUUUUUCGUGGGGGAUAACGUAGGGAAACUUACGCUAAUACCGCAUACGACCUACGGGUGAAAGCAGGGGAUCUUCGGACCUUGCGCGAUUGAAUGAGCCGAUGUCGGAUUAGCUAGUUGGCGGGGUAAAGGCCCACCAAGGCGACGAUCCGUAGCUGGUCUGAGAGGAUGAUCAGCCACACUGGAACUGAGACACGGUCCAGACUCCUACGGGAGGCAGCAGUGGGGAAUAUUGGACAAUGGGCGCAAGCCUGAUCCAGCCAUACCGCGUGGGUGAAGAAGGCCUUCGGGUUGUAAAGCCCUUUUGUUGGGAAAGAAAAGCAGCAGGUUAAUACCCCGCUGUUCUGACGGUACCCAAAGAAUAAGCACCGGCUAACUUCGUG
Molecule: ribosomal RNA, 492 nt
Filed under: uncultured bacterium
Lineage: Bacteria
Description: partial 16S ribosomal RNA
Rfam family: Bacterial small subunit ribosomal RNA
Source: RNAcentral